Molecule: ribosomal RNA, 500 nt
Filed under: uncultured bacterium
Lineage: Bacteria
Description: partial 16S ribosomal RNA
Rfam family: Bacterial small subunit ribosomal RNA
Source: RNAcentral
AUUGAACGCUGGCGGCAUGCCUUACACAUGCAAGUCGAACGGCAGCACGGGAGCAAUCCUGGUGGCGAGUGGCGAACGGGUGAGUAAUAUAUCGGAACGUGCCCAGUCGUGGGGGAUAACGCAGCGAAAGCUGUGCUAAUACCGCAUACGAUCUAUGGAUGAAAGCGGGGGAUCGCAAGACCUCGCGCGAUUGGAGCGGCCGAUAUCAGAUUAGUUAGUUGGUGAGGUAAAGGCUCACCAAGGCGACGUUCUGUAGCUGGUCUGAGAGGACGACCAGCCACACUGGAACGGGUACACGGUCCAGACUCCUACCGGGGGCAGCAGUGGGGAAUUUUGGACAAUGGGCGAAAGCCUGAUCCAGCAAUGCCGCGUGCAGGAUGAAGGCCUUCGGGUUGUAAACUGCUUUUGUACGGAACGAAACGGUGAGCUCUAAUACAGUUUGCUAAUGACGGUACCGUAAGAAUAAGCACCGGCUAACUACGUGCCAGCCGCCGCCGUAA